Molecule: long non-coding RNA, 857 nt
Filed under: Felis catus (domestic cat)
Lineage: Eukaryota; Metazoa; Chordata; Mammalia; Carnivora; Felidae
Description: lncRNA (ENSFCAG00000044853.2)
Source: RNAcentral
GUUGGCCCUGAGCUGGAGUGUCUGAGCUUCUUGGGGAAGGAUCCUUACUUGUGUGAGCUGUUCCUGUGGGUUUUAGUCUUCUAUUUUCUAUCCCAGCAGAGAAGGAGCCAGCAGAAAGGAGAGUGACAAUAAACAAGUUCAUCAACAAAGCAAGUCAUAAGGCCACUCCUGAUAUCAACAGAGAAGGAAUGUGAAAUCCUCUAUCAGGGAGCAGUGCCCCAGGGAAGGACAACAACUAUUUUGAACACGAAUACAAUCUCCCAUUCUCACUUUGGAGACCUGUCACUGACAUCACCAAACUGUCUUAGAAGGAGCACCGUCUGUAGACCUCAAGUCUCAAGAUUUCACAAGAUUCUGCCAGGGCAGCAGAGACCUGCUCAUUUUCUCAGCUGUGCCGCCAUAUUGAGUUGAGCUCCUCUGACACUGACAGAUGGCACUGGUGUCCUAGAGACCCCCUGAGGUGAGUCAAGGUGUUAUUCCUGGUCUUUGUAAUUCCUAGGCUGUGUGAUCCCAAUACCUUAAGAGGCAAACCUCACCCCUUGCCCAGCCCCUGGGACAAGGUAAGUAGAAAAGCUUCUCCACCAGAGGCCGCAUUUGUGUCAGUGAAGGACGCUAUACUCUGAGUCACUUCUUUUUACAGCCUGUCAGAGGCCAAAUUCGAUCAUUUUGAAGGAAUACAUUAUGACCCAUCUGUCCAUUCACAUAAAUCACUGACCUUCCUUUUUUUUUUUUUUUUUUUUGCCCUAGCAGGAGGGUGUUCAAAACAGUUGUCUCUGUGAUAAAUCUUUACCAGUUUAGUACUAUAAAUGUUGUGCUUGAUGUUUUAUGCUAUGAUUAUUUCUCUAUUGAAAUGUGUA